GAUGAAGAACGCAGCGAAAUGCGAUACGUAAUGUGAAUUGCAAAUUCAGUGAAUCAUCGAGUCUUUAAACGCACAUUGCGCCCCCUGGUAUUCCGGGGGGCAUGCCUGUCCGAGCGUCAUUGCUGCCCUCAAGCACGGCUUGUGUGUUGGGCCCCGUCCUCCGAUCCCGGGGGACGGGCCCGAAAGGCAGCGGCGGCACCGCGUCCGGUCCUCGAGCGUAUGGGGCUUUGUCACCCGCUCUGUAGGCCCGGCCGGCGCUUGCCGAUCAACCCAAAUUUUUUAUCCAGGUUGACCUCGGAUCAGGUAGGGAUACCCGCUGAACUUAAGCAUAUCAAUAAGCGGAGGA
Molecule: unclassified non-coding RNA, 346 nt
Filed under: soil metagenome
Description: partial contains 5.8S ribosomal RNA, internal transcribed spacer 2, and large subunit ribosomal RNA
Rfam family: 5.8S ribosomal RNA (bases 1-119)
Source: RNAcentral